AAUACGAAGGGUGCAAGCGUUAAUCGGAAUUACUGGGCGUAAAGCGCGCGUAGGUGGCUUGAUAAGUUGGAUGUGAAAUCCCCGGGCUCAACCUGGGAACUGCAUCCAAAACUGUCUGGCUAGAGUGUGGUAGAGGGUAGUGGAAUUUCCAGUGUAGCGGUGAAAUGCGUAGAUGUUGGAAGGAACACCAGUGGCGAAGGCGACUACCUGGACUAACACUGACACUGAGGUGCGAAAGCGUGGGGAGCAAACAG
Molecule: ribosomal RNA, 254 nt
Filed under: uncultured prokaryote
Description: partial 16S ribosomal RNA
Rfam family: Bacterial small subunit ribosomal RNA
Source: RNAcentral